Long non-coding RNA from Bos taurus (domestic cattle), 722 nucleotides. Lineage: Eukaryota; Metazoa; Chordata; Mammalia; Artiodactyla; Bovidae. The record is from Ensembl.
GCAUACACAAAAAAUGUUAAUUUUCAAUACCGAUCUAUGCCACAGUCUUUUCAAAGACAUUUUUUUAAAAGACAGUCAAGCUCAGUACACACGGAGUCCUACAACUGCACACAGCUCAUUCCAAGUAUGCCCAACACGGGCAGACAACUAUGCCACUGCUGCCAUCUGGCUGACAAUGACUGUGAUAAGCAUCCUGAUUUAGAAAUGUUGAAAUAACUGCAUCUGAGCAUCAAAGAAAGCAUCCCCACUUUGUAGACACAGAGACUGGCACAGCCAGAUUUACUGAUUUGCCCCAAAACUUCCCAGAUAGCAAGUGGCUUACCCAGACUUUCAACUGGAGUGGUCCGGCCUCAGAGCUGAGAAACAUUCAACUCUCUGCAUCUUCAGUGAUCUCUCCGUUUCUGCUGGUGGAGACCUCAUUCACAGCUGUCCUGUUUUCCCAGCACCACUUGUUGAAGAGACUGUCUUUCCACCAUUGUGUCGUCUUGCCUCCUUUGUCACGGACUGACUGACCACAGCUUCAUGGACUGUAGCCCACCAGGCUCCUUUGUCCAUGGGAUUUCCCAAGAAAGAAUACUGCAGUGGGUUGCCAUGUCCUCCGGAGGAUCUUCCUGACCCAGGGAUUGAAGCCUCAUCUCCUGCAUUGGCAGGAGGAUUCUUUACCAUGAGCACCACCCGGGAAGCUCCACUAUGUACUUAGGAAGAGUUUAUUAGUCCAUAGA